RNAcentral lists this unclassified non-coding RNA (283 nucleotides) under uncultured Psathyrella. RNAcentral describes it as "partial contains 5.8S ribosomal RNA, internal transcribed spacer 2, and large subunit ribosomal RNA". The stretch from base 1 to 52 matches the Rfam family "5.8S ribosomal RNA", at positions 103 to 154 of the family's 154-position model. The record is from RNAcentral. Lineage: Eukaryota; Fungi; Basidiomycota; Agaricomycetes; Agaricales; Psathyrellaceae.
AACGCACCUUGCGCUCCUUGGUAUUCCGAGGAGCAUGCCUGUUUGAGUGUCAUUAAAUUCUCAACUUCAUCAUUUUUUGUUGAAGCUUGGAUGUGGGGGUUGUGCAGAACACUUUGGUGGUCUGCUCCCCUUAAAUGAAUUAGCGAGUUCAAACUGAGCUCCGCCUAUUGGUGUGAUAAUUAUCUACGCUGUGGAUGGGACUUAGACUUGCUUCUAAACUGUCCGCAAGGACAAUUCUUGACAAUUUGACCUCAAAUCAGGUAGGACUACCCGCUGAACUUAA